Schistosoma mattheei is the source of this 45-nucleotide non-coding RNA. The record is from Rfam. NCBI's taxonomy places the organism in Eukaryota, Metazoa, Platyhelminthes, Trematoda, Strigeidida, Schistosomatidae.
AUCCAGCUGACGAGUCCCGAAUAAGAAGAAACGUUCGUCCUGGAU